Molecule: long non-coding RNA, 249 nt
Filed under: Olea europaea (common olive)
Lineage: Eukaryota; Viridiplantae; Streptophyta; Magnoliopsida; Lamiales; Oleaceae
Description: long non-coding RNA (OEUR_LNC006788)
Source: RNAcentral
AAUGGAACCCAAGGAUAAUUGACAUUUUUGGGACAACCAUAGUAGGUGUGACUUUAAUCUUCUGUUUAACCCAUAUUGAUCCUAGGUUUAACCCAUAUUGAUCCUAGGAAGAACGACGAUUUAAAUCCGCGGCAAGGGAUAUAAUUUCAACUUUUUGCUUGUUCUUGUUGGAACAUAAAUUUGACCGACAACUUGGAGAUGCCAUAAUCUCUGUGAAUCUUGAACUGCUAAAUGUACAACAAGAGUGGU